CCUGCGGGCGGCAGCAGUGGGGAAUAUUGGACAAUGGGCGAAAGCCUGAUCCAGCCAUGCCGCGUGUGUGAAGAAGGCCUUCGGGUUGUAAAGCACUUUCAGUGGGGAAGAAAGCCUUGGGGCUAAUACCCUCGAGGAAGGACAUCACCCACAGAAGAAGCACCGGCUAACUCCGUGCCAGCAGCCGCGGUAAUACGGAGGGUGCGAGCGUUAAUCGGAAUUACUGGGCGUAAAGCGCGCGUAGGCGGUCUGAUAAGCCGGUUGUGAAAGCCCCGGGCUCAACCUGGGAACGGCAUCCGGAACUGUCAGGCUAGAGUGCAGGAGAGGAAGGUAGAAUUCCCGGUGUAGCGGUGAAAUGCGUAGAGAUCGGGAGGAAUACCAGUGGCGAAGGCGGCCUUCUGGACUGACACUGACGCUGAGGUGCGAAAGCGUGGGUAGCAAACAGGAUUAGAUACCCCGGUAGUC
RNAcentral lists this ribosomal RNA (465 nucleotides) under Vreelandella stevensii. RNAcentral's name for it is "partial 16S ribosomal RNA". It matches the Rfam family "Bacterial small subunit ribosomal RNA", at positions 338 to 795 of the family's 1533-position model. The record is from RNAcentral. Lineage: Bacteria; Pseudomonadati; Pseudomonadota; Gammaproteobacteria; Oceanospirillales; Halomonadaceae.